RNAcentral lists this ribosomal RNA (396 nucleotides) under uncultured bacterium. Its description in RNAcentral is "partial 16S ribosomal RNA". It matches the Rfam family "Bacterial small subunit ribosomal RNA", at positions 523 to 917 of the family's 1533-position model. The record is from RNAcentral.
AUACGUAGGGGGCGAGCGUUGUCCGGAAUGAUUGGGCGUAAAGGGCGCGUAGGCGGCCCGGUAAGUCUGGAGUGAAAGUCCUGUUUUUAAGAUGGGAAUUGCUUUGGAUACUGUCGGGCUUGAGUGCAGGAGAGGUAAGUGGAAUUCCCAGUGUAGCGGUGAAAUGCGUAGAGAUUGGGAGGAACACCAGUGGCGAAGGCGACUUACUGGACUGUAACUGACGCUGAGGCGCGAAAGUGUGGGGAGCAAACAGGAUUAGAUACCCUGGUAGUCCACACUGUAAACGAUGAAUGCUAGGUGUAGGGGGUAUCGACCCCUUCUGUGCCGCAGUAAACACAAUAAGCAUUCCGCCUGGGGAGUACGGUCGCAAGGUUGAAACUCAAAUGAAUUGACGGG